Molecule: long non-coding RNA, 1000 nt
Organism: Musa acuminata AAA Group (dessert banana)
Lineage: Eukaryota; Viridiplantae; Streptophyta; Magnoliopsida; Zingiberales; Musaceae
Exons: 5
Source: RefSeq, a predicted model, not a curated record
AUCCUAUUGGAAGACAUUCCCGCUCCUGGCUCGGUGUGACCCGAAUCGUACGAUAGACAGCAAGUCUAUGAAGAGAGGCGUUGGGGACUGGAGAGGUGUUCGGCAUAAGAUCGUGAUGCGAGGCAAUCCCCUUCCCUUCUCGCCUACGCCCAACUCUCUCUCCUCCUCGCCCUCUCGCCGCCGCCGCCGCCGCCGCCCUCCUCAGGUGGCGCCUCGCGCGCUUCCGGCAGUGGCCCGACGGCUUCGUCAUUUCCCAGGUCCAAACCCUAACGCUUUCUUGGCUGAUCUCCGACAGAGCGGGUGUUACUGGUACCCUUCUCGAUCUCAUCGUUUCUUGGGCACGGAGAUCUGUUGACCGUGCCAUGGGGGGAUUCGCCCAAACAAUUCUGUUUUACAUUUCAAAGAGCAGGAAUAUGGAUUGGGGUAGAAGUGUAGGGGCAUCGGCUUCCAAAUGCAGUCGAGAUUCUUCUUGAGGACCGUCAUUCGUGUCAUAAAUGGACAUGCUUGUUCAUUCUGCAUUCGCUGGAGCCGAUGAGAGUAAUUAUGCCGGUGCUCUUAAUCUGACAAAUAUCUCCUCCUCUCCUUAUCAUAAUGUGGAUAAGACCGGAUGUUACAAGUCUCAGUGGCUGAGAAGGAAGCGCAGUCACUUGGAUGUCUGCAUCUUUCAGGGUAGCACUGUGGAACGAUGCACUGAACCGUUGGAUCACAUACCAACUCACCAAGAAAUAUUUUUAUGUGUGGAGAUAAAAGUCUAUAUCCAAUUCUGGAAUUCAUCCACAUCAGUGUGUGUCGGCAGAUCAUGGUGGCGAGUAUCACAAGGCCAAUUUGAAAUUCUCUUCAGUUAUUCCCAAGAUGUUCCAUUAUUUAGCCAAAUUAUGUGGAGACUGGCAUGCAUCGAGUAGUUGUCAAACGGCAGGCACCAUGGGUCAGAAACCUCGCCUCUGCCUUCGGUACCAUACAUUUCCGCAUACAUCUCCACAGAGAGAGAGAGAGAGAGAGA